GAUCAUGGCUCAGGAUGAACGCUAGCGGCAGGCUUAACACAUGCAAGUCGAGGGGCAGCAUAAUGGUAGUAAUACUAUUGAUGGAGACCGGCGGACGGGUGCGUAACGCGUAUGCAACCUACCCUUUACAGGGGGAUAACACUGAGAAAUCGGUACUAAUACCCCAUAACUAUUCUGGGAGGCAUCUUUCGGAGUUGAAAGCUUUGGUGGUAAAGGAUGGGCAUGCGUUGUAUUAGCUAGUUGGUAAGG
RNAcentral lists this ribosomal RNA (249 nucleotides) under uncultured bacterium. RNAcentral's name for it is "partial 16S ribosomal RNA". It matches the Rfam family "Bacterial small subunit ribosomal RNA", at positions 15 to 257 of the family's 1533-position model. The record is from RNAcentral.